AGAACUGAUAUUUCAAACAGUGGAAUGAAGGGGUAACGCCCUGAAACGCUGACCUGAAACCACGAUAUGCGAAAAUUUGUGCAACCGAAAAUUCGUAUAAAGUUCGUUAAGGACGGCAGAAGUUUACCCAAACAGGUCGAAAGACGCUGUGGAAAAUUGCUUGGAGGCAAGCGACGUAAAUGAUAUGUCGGGGGUCUAUAAA
RNAcentral lists this non-coding RNA (202 nucleotides) under chicken gut metagenome. The record is from RNAcentral.